AGCAGGGUUCAGGGUAAGGGAAUGUGAGCGGAUCCCAACAACAAUUGAUUUUUGGUCUUGAAAGACAUCGCAGCACCGCAGCACAGAAUAUUCCAAAAUUCUGGCGUCAGAUAAUUGAAAUGCUGCAAGAGUGAGUCACAGAGCCCUGCAUUUGAGGAAAAGUCAAUGAUGCACUUGGCAUUUCACCCUCUAGCAACGGUCUAGAAGCGUCCCGCUCCUGCCAGCCUUCCUAGGUCUGGUAUAGCCUCCUCCAUCUGAAGACUCUGUUCAGACCCAGCCUGGAGCACCAAAGUCAUCUUCCUUCCAAGGGCAUAAAAGUCCCCAGGCUCCUUUGGUGAAUCACAAGAUGAAGUGUUUUCAUAAAGAGUGGACUCUUUGUUAUAGUGUUAUUUCCACCUGGAAACCUCCUCCUAAAGACUCCUGGUCAGAGAGGGUCUUUUCUUCCUCCAUACUUUCCUCGCCCCUUGUGAAUACUGUGUGUUAUGGCUGCCUAUUAAGCUAAGUCUCUCUGCCCACUAGUUGGUGGGCUUAAGGACCGAGAUGUUCUUGCUCAGUGAUUCAUCCCAGGCGUUGGGCUGUCACUGAACACCUGUGAAACGAAUGAGCAGCAGAAUGGAAAAUCGAAGGAUGAGGAUGUAGACUGCAAAAGUGACAGGACUCUGGAAAGAAGAGGCAAAGAUCAGCCUCAGACCUCCCUGCGGGUACACAAAGGCCUGCUUUUGUGUUUUGAAACCAUUCUACCAUCUUCUGGUUUUGUGUCCUUGGUGUCUGCUUCAAGGACAUGCUUUAUUGAAACCUGCUUUAUUCAAGCUUCAUUUUUUAGUUUGGGUUUUAUCGGGAAUCAGCUAUCUUUAGGAGAUACAUUCUAAAAAGUGUUCAGGCACAAACACCUGAAUAGAAAUAAGAAUUAAAGGUAUUGAAAGCUGGUUUUGAUGGACAUGAGAUGGAUACUGUGAAACCUAUAGUCCCCCCGGGAGGGGUGUGGGUGAAGGGGCUCCCUGUAAGGGAGUGAACCGCUUUCUUCCACUCCAUGGCCAAUGCAAAACUGCAUUCUUCACCAUUUCACAGAGGAUUGGCCUUGACACUGCCUAUCUCUUAAAUUACCCUCAAGUUGAGGGGAGAUAGCAAAUCUCUACGCGUGAUUAAGAACCUUUUAAAAGGGCAAAGUUCAGAGGGAACAAAAAUUUCCUGCACAAAACCAUAAACAAUUACAGUCCUUCGGCCUUCUUUAUUCCCGAUUGGUAAUCAGCUCCUUGCCCAAGGAUAUAAGGUGUGAUAUUUGUGCACAUGCUAAUCAAACUGUUCCAAAAGUCAGACUCACACAAGACUUAUCCUUCCACAAAGUAAACACAAGCCGCCGUUAUUGUUUAUCACCUCAACUAUAAAGAGCUCUAAGUCAAGUACUAUUGAUCCAAGUAGAAGAGAUAAAACCUGAAGGACGCAGCGUGUGUUGUUCUUUUACUUGCGGCCACUUCCGUCUCUCGAGUUUCACAUUUCACAGGAUCAUAAAAUGCACCACGCGGUGGUCCACGUGAACACAGCUGCCGCCGACCCUGCCAGUUACAACAGCGUCUGAGAGGCUGAGGGUGACGAGUGGGUACAGUAUUGACACUGUAAAAAAAGCACAGGCAGUGGAGCCAGAAAGGUCUAUUUCUGCAAGUUUUACUAGAGUGCUAUUACCUCUUUUACACUCUGGUUCCUGUCUACUGCCAAGAUCUUCAUAUAUUUUGAAGUUUUUACUUAGGUGCAUACAAAUUUAGGAUUGUUAUUUCUUCUUGUUGAACUGAAUCUUUUAUCAUUAUUUUUUUUAAAGUUCCUCAUGAUACUUCUAGCCUUCAAGUCAAUUCUAUCUCUUGAGACUCAUAUGGCCACAUCACUCUCUUUUGGUAUGGUAUUCUUGGGGUACAGUGUUUCCUUCUUUUGACUUCCAACUUCUAACUUCGUUUUAAUUCUAAGAGUGUUUCAUUAGCAACAUAUCACUGGAUUUUUAAAAAUCGAGGCGGACAGGUUUUGUUAUUGAACUGUAAAUGAAUCAUCCAUUUACAUUUGACACAAUUACUAGUAAAUUGGGGCUUCUGUUUGCAUCUUCAUAUUUGUUUUCUACUGGUCCUACCUUUUUGUCCUUUAUUCCUCUUUUCCUACCUUCCUUUGGAUUCAUUGUGUCAUAUAAAAAAUGAUUGCAUUUUAUCUCCACUAUUUUUUGGAGGAAUUACCUCUACCCUUCAGAAUUUCUCUCUUUAGCCUCCUACCUCAGAAAGCAUCAAAAUACAGCAAACGUCUUGAGAGGAAAGCCUGUUGGAUGCUUGAUGCAGGUUCCUUUUUCUACAGGGACUUUGUGUACUAAGUAUCUCAAGACUACAGUCUUAGGUUCCAAACUUUCCCAACGCUCAGCUCAGGGGCCCAGGGCUCCUCCAGGUCCCAAUAUGCUCUAUGAGCCCAUGCGAAUGUCAAACUUCUGCAGGUUUCUCUUUCCCCCACUGGUGGCCACUGACCCAGGCCAAGUCCAAUCCUUAGCAUUUGUCCAGAAUUGGUAAACAGCCUCAGGGAAGGAAAUUAUGGGCAAUCUCGGCUCACCUGAGAAAGACUUCUCUCUGUAGUUCUAGCUCAGAGAAUGAUCUUUGCUUCCCCAGAUUGCUAAUGUACUUAAAAUUAUGAUUUUGGGGGUGACAUCAUUUUAAUUUUUUUCUAGUCAGUUUAGUAGGAGCAAUGGCCUACUACUACCUCCCUAGAAAUGGAAUUCCCCUUUAUCAUUAUAAUUAUACAUCUGAGAUGCAGAGGCAUAUGUAAGUAGGCAGGGCUGGAUUCAGAGUGCUUGGUGUGAAUUCCUGUUCUGCCAUGUAGGCUUCACUGGGCCUUGGGAAAGUCAUUUAACCACUGGGCCUCUAUUUCUUCUCUUCUAAGUGAAAAUAAUGGUGGAACUCAUCCCAGAGGGUCAUUAUGAGGAUCUGCAUAAUGAGUGGUGUAAUAUUUCACAUGAUGCUUUGUACAUAAUAAGUGAUCACAUUGUUAGCUAUUAUUAGAUUGUAUUGAUUGUAUUAGUUAGGAGCCCAGAAAUCACUGAUUUUAAAUCAGAUACUGCUUAGGAAUCGUGUGGCUUUGGAUGACUUAUUUCAUUUCUUUGUGGCUCCAUUGCAUCAUUGUGAAACACUGGACUAGUAAUAAUAUCUCAUAAGGGCUUAAUUUCUAAUUUUGUAGAGGCUCAGGUUUGAAUCAUGGGAGUUGUGAGCCAGGAACAUCAAUCAUUGAGAUCACAAUGGUUCUCAGAUGCUGGUUUCCAAAGCAGUUCAUGACCAACACCCAUGUCACGGGUCUAAAGCUUAGCUAAGGUCUCAGAUAAAUUUGUAACUGAACUGCGUGAAUAGCAUUCAGGGCAUUGUUCUCAUGUUCAUCACAUGAAAAAAGACUUCAAACAAUGGUGUUCCAGAGUAAGCUGAGUAUUCUAGUUCUACCGUAAGUGAUAGUAUUGAAUAUAGAUGCUCAAUUUUAAAUUAGCAUCAAAAAAAUUAUAUACUCUUUAAUCCUAUCAUCUGUCAAAGCAUGCUGGGGGUUUUCUAUAUUUUCAAAUAAUUUUAUUAGUUUACCAAUUGUAUUUUGAGAAACACUGUCUUUUAUUCUAAGAUUAUGUUCUUUCAACUUUUCUUCUUAAUUACUACAGUUAUUGCUUUCUGAAAUGAUGUUGGAUUGUUGUGUUGGCUUAUUUUAGAUGAUUUUAUUUAGCUACAAUAAAAUCCUUUUGAAUUUAGGAUAGUCUCUUAGUUAAACAAACCAACAAACAAAACUUUACUCAGCUAUAAAAUCCAGAAGUCUGAGAACCGCUCACUUGGGUAUAUCAUAAUUCAGACUCUUCCCAAUCUUUCUUUAGCUUUUCUCAACUUCAGAUAUGUUGUAUAACACUUGCCAAAUAUCUACAAGUCAUGGAUAUAUCAAUUUGUCAUUUGUACUCACUGCAUUUUAUGAAAGAAAUUAUGUGUGAGUGGUAUUCAUAGUUUCAGGAAUUUUCAGAAAUCAGAGCUAUAUUAAACUUGAGUUCCAAGGAUUCAUUUCUGAACUUUUAAAUAUCAGCUCUCACAUUGUCAACAUUCUAAAUCUUUUUAACAAAUGGGAGAAACUGAGGCACGGAAGUUUUGAACAAUUUGCUUCAACUUGCAUGAUCAGUGUUGGAGUCUGAUAAAGCAGCCAAUUCCAUGAAUACCUAAUGUUUUCCAGGCAAAUAUGGUCCCCUUUCUGUUUUCCAAGCAGGGCAAAUAUAAAAGAAGAUAAUAAAUCUCCUCCCCUUUGGCACACUUCUCCUCUCCCCAGAAACUAUGUCACAAGACUGCGCAGUUCCUUAUUGACUCCUGAAUCCAAAUCAUGGUCCUGCUCCACCUCUUGGCUGGGAGGAGACCAGCCACUCUCCUGCCUUUCUGGAGGCUGCCAGUCAAAGGUCCAGGUUCCAGCACCUGGUUCCUACUGAUGGUUCCAGGAGGUGCACACAGGACAUUCUGUCAGGCUUGCCCUGCAUCUCAAUGGCCUUCUAUUUUUUUCUGUCAUCAGCAGAGACUGUUCAUCUGGUUCUCACAUACUUUGUGGUUUUUCUCCUGUAGAACUUGGAGCCAUGGUAAUAAAGUCAGUUUUCAAGGAA
Molecule: long non-coding RNA, 4621 nt
Organism: Manis javanica (Malayan pangolin)
Lineage: Eukaryota; Metazoa; Chordata; Mammalia; Pholidota; Manidae
Source: RefSeq, a predicted model, not a curated record